This 515-nucleotide ribosomal RNA is filed under the name uncultured archaeon. RNAcentral describes it as "bacterial SSU rRNA". It matches the Rfam family "Archaeal small subunit ribosomal RNA", at positions 345 to 859 of the family's 1478-position model. The record is from RNAcentral.
AACCUUUACACUGCACGCCAGUGCGAUAAGGGGAUCCCGAGUGCGCAGGCAUAGAGCCUGCGCUUUUCUGAACUGUAGGGAGGUUCAGGAACAAGAGCUGGGCAAGACCGGUGCCAGCCGCCGCGGUAAUACCGGCAGCCCGAGUGAUGGCCGAUCUUAUUGGGCCUAAAGCGUCCGUAGCUGGCCGCACAAGUCCAUCGGAAAAUCCACCCGCUCAACGGGUGGGCGUCCGGUGGAAACUGUGUGGCUUGGGGCCGGAAGGCGCGACGGGUACGUCCGGGGUAGGAGUGAAAUCCCGUAAUCCUGGACGGACCGCCGAUGGCGAAAGCACGUCGCGAGAACGGAUCCGACAGUGAGGGACGAAAGCUAGGGUCUCGAACCGGAUUAGAUACCCGGGUAGUCCUAGCCGUAAACAAUGCCUGCUAGGUGUGGCUCCCACUACGAGUGGGUGCUGUGCCGUAGGGAAGCCGCUAAGCAGGCCGCCUGGGAAGUACGUCCGCAAGGAUGAAACUUAA